Molecule: non-coding RNA, 2242 nt
Organism: Malus domestica (apple)
Lineage: Eukaryota; Viridiplantae; Streptophyta; Magnoliopsida; Rosales; Rosaceae
Source: RefSeq, a predicted model, not a curated record
UUUAAAUCCCCCUUCAAUCCCUGUAGGUCUUCAGAGUCUAACCUAAUUUAGUUCCUUUCCUCCAUUUUUACUCCCCACUCUACUUGUGGCGAUUUGUUGCAGAAUUCAACACUGACCCAUAGGGCAUGAUAUAAAGGGUAUUCAGGGGUAAUCUUCACCAUUCCAGACUGAUUUUGGGGGCGAGACAUCUGAUUACUGAUUUCUUAAUCAGAAAGCAGCCAAAUCCAGUUGGGUCCAAAUAUCUUAUAAACCGAUGUGAUGAUAAAAUCAGGCCGGAAAAGGGUCAGUCCAAGUGAAUCCAUGCCCUUGGGGACCCAGUGAGCCAGCACCAAGCAAGACAUGCCAAUUGUUCUGCCGAGCCAGUGCCAGUGCCAUCCAUUGGUAAGACUAACCAGGCUCUCUUUCUCCCUAAAUGUUGGGAGGUUGUGAAAGAGGCAGGAUAUAACAAUAUCAUGAUAUCUGUUUGUUUUUUUAUAUAAUAGUUGUGUACAUUUUCUGAUGAUGAUACGUAUCUUCAACUCAAUUACGUAUGUUUGCAUCAUAAUUAUAACUACUGGACCAAAUUCUGGAAUGAUGGCAUUCUAAAACCCGGUAAAGUAGUUCUAAGUCAGCCGCGCUACGUAUCUGACAAUUAUCUUGACUGUUGUAGUGGGUUAAUUCUGUUCUUUAACCUAAGACUUGUCAAUUCUGUGUGUUCAACCCCAUCACUGAACCACAUGUCUCCAUACCUAUAGCGUGUGCACAUGAGCGUGAGCAUUUUUGCGCUGCCUUGGCUUUUGACCCUGUUGAAUCCAACCACUAGAGUUAUUCGAAUUGAUCAUUCCCCACAAUCCAAAUCCAGUGGUUCCACAGUCCCAACGCGAACCCUCACCCUGAUGGCAGACAUAUUUCGCAAUCUGGACAGUGGGUCAACUUGACCCCAUGUUCAUUGAUGGGUUUAAAAGUUCCAAGGUUUGCAGGCAUUUUGUAUACUUGCAGGGGGUGUUAUAUGGCCUUGCUAGUUCACAGGAAGGUUUGUGUAUUGACCUCAAUACCAUUAAAGCUUGAGCCUUUGAAUGCUCUCGUGUUCUUGCGGACGAUGAUAGGACCAGUGAGCAAUGGGAUGUCUUGGGAUGUCAAAGGAUCUUGUUUGUUAUGUAACAUGUGAUGGUUCAAAUACUUUUCGUUUUUGGUCUUAUAAUGAUCAAUGUGAAUCUGGUGACCAAUGGACUCUCAAAUAUAGUGUUGUUAGGAAUAGUUUGGUAUGGGGGGCGGAUACAAUGUUUAUACCCAGUGCAGAUAUAGUGUUUAAACCCAAUGCAAUAAGUCUGAAUGCUCAUGUCAUCUUCUAUGACACUUCAGAAUUGAUCUUUAGCUGGGACUAUGAAAGCCAGAAAUGUAAACUGUUCAACAAGUCAAAGGUAAAGAUGGCUCAAAACCUGGUUAUAACUUUCCUUUCUUUACCCAACGUCCUUGCUUGAUACCUUACUACAGAUUGGGUGAGAGGAAUAUUGCCGGCUUUACUCCAUUAUCAGGGAACCUUUUGAAGGGAGCAGAGAUUUCGAGUGCGGAAGCAUUACCAUGUGAGUGUGAUAAUCUAAAAGAUAGCUUUCAAGUUGUACGCGGUCGUUCAUAUUGGAAUAUGUUGUUCAAGAGGCGGUUUCUUUUUCCAAGUGAAAUGCAGUUAUGUGUAGGAAUGGAGCUGCCGGAUUAAAGGGUAAGUACCAUAUGUCAUGGAAAGUGCUUGAUGUUACUGGGUUUUCCAGUUCAAGGUUGAGUACCACACAUCACAGGCUUCGGUAUCCCUAUCUAAACAGGUCAGCUUUUAGCUUAGGUACCUCUUUUCCUUUUUUCCUGCUCAACAAAGAAUUUCCACUAGUCGUAAUCGAUAACUUAGGGUUCUUUGUACAUUUUUGUUUGAUCGACAUAAGUUGGAUUAUUCUCGGAGGCGGUUCAAAGUCAUACAAACAAGUGAUUUACUGCUGUCAAUGUGAAUUUUUUCAUUGUGUUAUGUAGCAUUGCAUCGAUGUACGUGGAUUGAAUGCUUCUUUGAAAAUGACCAUAAGGAAAACCAUUUUGUUUUUAUAUCUAUCUUCUGCUUUCUUUGUCGAACAAGUUCAUUAGGAUAGUAACUAGGGUUCUUCCGCUCUUCCGCUCAUCAUUUUAAGGGACUCAUUUAGUCAGCGCUUGCUGUGGCUUCCAGUUAAGGGCUCUGUUAUGUAAUUCCAAACUGAAUGUAGUCGUGAAUUCUUAUGUUGCAUGU